AACGUAGGAGACAAACGUUAUCCGGAGUUACUGGGCGCAAAGGGCGUGUAGGUGGUUUCGUAAGUCUGGCGUGAAAUUUUUCGGCUUAACCGGGAAAGGUCGUCGGAUACUGCGGAACUAGAGGACGGUAGAGGCGUGUGGAAUUCCGGGUGUAGUGGUGAAAUGCGUAGAGAUCCGGAGGAACACCAGUGGCGAAGGCGACACGCUGGGCCGUACCUGACACUGAUGCGCGACAGCAUGGGGAGCAAACAGG
This 253-nucleotide ribosomal RNA is filed under the name uncultured bacterium. RNAcentral's name for it is "partial 16S ribosomal RNA". It matches the Rfam family "Bacterial small subunit ribosomal RNA", at positions 524 to 776 of the family's 1533-position model. The record is from RNAcentral.